CUCGUGUCGUGAGAUGUUGGUUAAGUCCGCAACGAGCGCAACCUCGCCUCUAGUUGCCAGCAUUCGGUUGGGCACUCUAGAGGGACUGCGGCGACAAGUCGGAGAAGGUGGGGAUGACGUCAAAUCAUCAUGCCCCUUAUGACCUGGGCUACACACGUGCUACAAUGGGCGGUACAAAGGGUCGCGAACCCGCGAGGGGGAGCCAAUCCCAAAAAGCCGCUCUCAGUUCGGAUUGCAGGCUGCAACUCGCCUGCAUGAAGCCGGAAUCGCUAGUAAUCGCGGAUCAGCAUGCCGCGGUGAAUACGUUCCCGGGCCUU
Molecule: ribosomal RNA, 317 nt
Filed under: uncultured Geobacillus sp.
Lineage: Bacteria; Bacillati; Bacillota; Bacilli; Caryophanales; Anoxybacillaceae
Description: bacterial SSU rRNA
Rfam family: Bacterial small subunit ribosomal RNA
Source: RNAcentral